UACGGAGGGUGCAAGCGUUAUCCGGAUUCACUGGGUUUAAAGGGUGCGUAGGCGGACAGGUAAGUCAGUGGUGAAAUCUCUGGGCUUAACCCAGAAACUGCCGUUGAUACUAUUUGUCUUGAAUACUGUGGAGGUCAGCGGAAUAUGUCAUGUAGCGGUGAAAUGCUUAGAUAUGACAUAGAACACCAAUUGCGAAGGCAGCUGGCUACACAAAUAUUGACACUGAGGCACGAAAGCGUGGGGAUCAAACAGG
This 253-nucleotide ribosomal RNA is filed under the name uncultured bacterium. RNAcentral's name for it is "partial 16S ribosomal RNA". It matches the Rfam family "Bacterial small subunit ribosomal RNA", at positions 524 to 776 of the family's 1533-position model. The record is from RNAcentral.